ACUAGGGAUCGGGCGAACUCAAUUUCAUGUGUCGCUCGGGACCUUACGAGAAAUCAAAGUCUUGGGGUUCUGGGGGGAGUAUGGUCGCAAGGCUGAAACUUAAAGGAAUUGACGGAAGGGCACCACAGGAGUGGAGCCUGCGGCUUAAUUUGACUCAACACGGGGAAACUCACCAGGUCCAGACAUGACUAGGAUUGCCAGAUUGAUAGCUCUUUCUUGAUUUUAUGG
This 228-nucleotide ribosomal RNA is filed under the name uncultured fungus. Its description in RNAcentral is "partial 18S ribosomal RNA". It matches the Rfam family "Eukaryotic small subunit ribosomal RNA", at positions 1045 to 1273 of the family's 1831-position model. The record is from RNAcentral. Lineage: Eukaryota; Fungi.